RNAcentral lists this ribosomal RNA (651 nucleotides) under uncultured bacterium. RNAcentral describes it as "bacterial SSU rRNA". It matches the Rfam family "Bacterial small subunit ribosomal RNA", at positions 129 to 812 of the family's 1533-position model. The record is from RNAcentral.
CCCAAAGGUUCGGAAUAACUCAGGGAAACUUGAGCUAAUACCGGAUAAUGUCUUCGGACCAAAGAUUUAUUGCCUUUGGAUGAGCCCGCGUAGGAUUAGCUAGUUGGUGGGGUAAAAGCCUACCAAGGCGACGAUCCUUAGCUGGUCUGAGAGGAUGAUCAGCCACACUGGGACUGAGACACGGCCCAGACUCCUACGGGAGGCAGCAGUGGGGAAUAUUGGACAAUGGGCGAAAGCCUGAUCCAGCAAUGCCGCGUGAGUGAUGAAGGCCUUAGGGUUGUAAAGCUCUUUUACCCGGGAUGAUAAUGACAGUACCGGGAGAAUAAGCUCCGGCUAACUCCGUGCCAGCAGCCGCGGUAAUACGGAGGGAGCUAGCGUUGUUCGGAAUUACUGGGCGUAAAGCGCACGUAGGCGGCUUUGUAAGUUAGAGGUGAAAGCCCGGGGCUCAACUCCGGAACUGCCUUUAAGACUGCAUCGCUUGAAUCCAGGAGAGGUGAGUGGAAUUCCGAGUGUAGAGGUGAAAUUCGUAGAUAUUCGGAAGAACACCAGUGGCGAAGGCGGCUCACUGGACUGGUAUUUGACGCUGAGGCACGAAAGCGUGGGGAUCAAACAGGGAUUAGAUACCCUGGUAGUCCACGCCCUAAGCGAUGG